GAUGAACGCUGGCGGCGUGCCUAAUACAUGCAAGUCGAGCGAACAGAUAAGGAGCUUGCACCUUUGACGUUAGCGGCGGACGGGUGAGUAACACGUGGAUAACCUACCUAUAAGACUGGGAUAACUUCGGGAAACCGGAGCUAAUACCGGAUAACAUAUUGAACCGCAUGGUUCAAUAGUGAAAGGCGGCUUUGCUGUCACUUAUAGAUGGAUCCGCGCCGUAUUAGCUAGUUGGUAAGGUAACGGCUUACCAAGGCAACGAUACGUAGCCGACCUGAGAGGGUGAUCGGCCACACUGGAACUGAGACACGGUCCAGACUCCUACGGGAGGCAGCAGUAGGGAAUCUUCCGCAAUGGGCGAAAGCCUGACGGAGCAACGCCGCGUGAGUGAUGAAGGUCUUCGGAUCGUAAAACUCUGUUAUCAGGGAAGAACAAAUGUGUAAGUAACUGUGCACAUCUUGACGGUACCUGAUCAGAAAGCCACGGCUAACUACGUG
This 497-nucleotide ribosomal RNA is filed under the name uncultured bacterium. Its description in RNAcentral is "partial 16S ribosomal RNA". It matches the Rfam family "Bacterial small subunit ribosomal RNA", at positions 28 to 507 of the family's 1533-position model. The record is from RNAcentral.